GAACAGCGGUCUUUUUUUUUUUGCAGACAUGAGAAGGAAAGGAGGUCCGCUUUCGUUUAUGGCAAUAGUUGCUUGCGUUUAUGGAACUUGGAAUGGAGCCAGUUGUUGGCUAGCUAGCCUUGCUCCGGCCAAACGCUGCGGCGGUUAGUUUCUUUCCGCAUUGAAGUAGCUAUUUAACGUUACCAAGUGAACAGAUCGGUAGAAUUGAGUUUUAGUCGUCAGGUAAGACAAAUGGCUAAAGCAUUAAGUGGUUGUGCCACCAUUCAGGUCUUCAGACAUGGGAGGGCUGCAAAUGGGAAUGACACGAUCCCCCUUCAAGCAUGCGGACUGAAUGAAUUGCAUCAGAUCUUCAGGAAAGCAUGUGCCGUCAACUCCAUUGAAGGUGAUUCAACUCUAGUCAAUGCGUUUUGAAGACUAAGCAUGGAUCUGCUGGGACUGGAUUGAUGGUUAAAUGGAAAGGGUAUUAAAGGAAAAACACGAUUUGGUGGACUGCUUGCAUUUCAGCAGGAAAUUAUCCAGGAAUACAUGUGUGUUUGACAUUCAAUUGAGUUGAAGCAUAGACAUGCAGAUUGUAUGGAAUGCGACAACUCCAUUGAAGGAUUGUUUCUUUCUGGACUUGGGUGGGGAACUGAAUGUUACAUCCUGCAGAUUCACGAAACUCCAGGCCAGGCUGUUUGGCUCAGCCGCCACCAGCUGUGUUCACAUGGCCCUUUGAUACAUCUAACCCUGGAGUGUCACUGCAUAAUCCUCUUGUCUUGCAAUGUCAGUGGUUUCUGAACAAAUGUACCACAUAAUGAAUUGAAUGUAUGGUCCCAACUGCAUAGACAGUGGAACAGUGUCAAGCGGUGAACAAUAAAAUGGACUUUUGUAAAUG
Long non-coding RNA from Oncorhynchus tshawytscha (Chinook salmon), 874 nucleotides. RefSeq lists it as uncharacterized. The record is from RefSeq and is a predicted model, not a curated record. The transcript is spliced from 9 exons. NCBI's taxonomy places the organism in Eukaryota, Metazoa, Chordata, Actinopteri, Salmoniformes, Salmonidae.